GAUUGUGGCUCAGUGGUUGAGUGCUCGCCUAGCAUGAGCAAGGCCCUGGGUUCGAUCCUCAGCAUUACA
This 69-nucleotide transfer RNA is filed under the name Marmota monax (woodchuck). Its description in RNAcentral is "tRNA.Ala". The record is from RNAcentral. Lineage: Eukaryota; Metazoa; Chordata; Mammalia; Rodentia; Sciuridae.